RNAcentral lists this ribosomal RNA (584 nucleotides) under uncultured bacterium. RNAcentral's name for it is "bacterial SSU rRNA". It matches the Rfam family "Bacterial small subunit ribosomal RNA", at positions 102 to 682 of the family's 1533-position model. The record is from RNAcentral.
ACGGGUGAGUAAUACAUCGGAACGUGCCCAGUCGUGGGGGAUAACUACGCGAAAGCGUAGCUAAUACCGCAUACGAUCUACGGAUGAAAGCGGGGGACCGUAAGGCCUCGCGCGAUUGGAGCGGCCGAUGGCAGAUUAGGUAGUUGGUGGGGUAAAGGCCUACCAAGCCGACGAUCUGUAGCUGGUCUGAGAGGACGACCAGCCACACUGGGACUGAGACACGGCCCAGACUCCUACGGGAGGCAGCAGUGGGGAAUUUUGGACAAUGGGCGCAAGCCUGAUCCAGCCAUUCCGCGUGCAGGAUGAAGGCCCUCGGGUUGUAAACUGCUUUUGUACGGAACGAAACGGCGCUUUCUAAUACAAGGCGCUAAUGACGGUACCGUAAGAAUAAGCACCGGCUAACUACGUGCCAGCAGCCGCGGUAAUACGUAGGGUGCGAGCGUUAAUCGGAAUUACUGGGCGUAAAGCGUGCGCAGGCGGUGAUGUAAGACAGAUGUGAAAUCCCCGGGCUCAACCUGGGAACUGCAUUUGUGACUGCAUCGCUGGAGUGCGGCAGAGGGGGAUGGAAUUCCGCGUGUAGCAGU